UGGGGAAUUUUGGACAAUGGAUGCAAGUCUGACCCAGCCAUGCCGCGUGCCGGAUGAAGGCCCUCAGGGUUGUAAACGGCUUUUAUUCGGGAAGAAGAGCAGGGAUGCGUCCUUGUGUGACGGUACCGAAUGAAUAAGCACCGGCUAACUCCGUGCCAGCAGCCGCGGUAAUACGGAGGGUGCGAGCGUUGUCCGGAUUUAUUGGGUUUAAAGGGUGCGUAGGUGGCUGUUUAAGUCAGUGGUGAAAUACGGUUGCUCAACAAUCGAGGUGCCAUUGAUACUGAAUAGCUUGAAAUAAUUGGAGGCUGCCGGAAUGGAUGGUGUAGCGGUGAAAUGCAUAGAUAUCAUCCAGAACACCGAUUGCGAAGGCAGGUGGCUACGAUUGGUUUGACACUGAGGCACGAAAGCAUGGGGAGCAAACA
This 422-nucleotide ribosomal RNA is filed under the name uncultured Dyadobacter sp. RNAcentral's name for it is "bacterial SSU rRNA". It matches the Rfam family "Bacterial small subunit ribosomal RNA", at positions 355 to 774 of the family's 1533-position model. The record is from RNAcentral. Lineage: Bacteria; Pseudomonadati; Bacteroidota; Cytophagia; Cytophagales; Spirosomataceae.